UCAAGCAAUAAGGGCACAGGGCGGAUGCCUUGGCACUAAGAGCCGAAGAAAGACGUGAUAAGCUGCGAUAAGCUUCGGGGAGGAGCAAAUAUCCUUUGAUCCGGAGAUCUCUGAAUGGGGAAACCCGGCAGAGCACACCUCUGUCAUCCAUACGCCAAUCCAUAACGUAUGGAAGGGAACCCGGGGAACUGAAACAUCUAAGUACCCGGAGGAAAAGAAAGAAAACUCGAUUCUGCAAGUAGCGGCGAGCGAACGCGGAAGAGCCUAAACCGGAAUGCGUGCAUUCCGGGGUUACGGACUGCAUGAAUGAUUCUUAGAAGCUAACAGAACGGUUUUGGGAAAGCCGGCCGCAGAGGGUGAAAGCCCCGUAUGUGAAAGCAGAUGAGACUGAGCAGGAUCCAGAGUACCACGAGACACGAGAAACCUUGUGGGAAGUCAGGGGGACCACCCCCUAAGGCUAAAUACUACUUAGUGACCGAUAGCGCAUAGUACUGUGAAGGAAAGGUGAAAAGGACCCCGGGAGGGGAGUGAAAGAGAACCUGAAACCCUGUGUCUACAAGCUGUGGGAGCACCUUAUGCGUGCAACCGCGUACUUUUUGUAGAACGGUCCGGCGAGUUACGCUUACUGGCAAGGUUAAGUCCUUAAGGGACGGAGCCGUAGGGAAACCAAGUCUUAACAGGGCCUUAAGUCAGUAGGAGUAGACCCGAAACCGGGUGAUCUACCCAUGUCCAGGAUGAAGCUGCCGUAAGAGGCAGUGGAGGUCCGGACCCACAUCCGUUGAAAAGGGUGGGGAUGAGGUGUGGGUAGGGGAGAAAUUCCAAUCGAACCCGGAGAUAGCUGGUUCUCCUCGAAAUAGCUUUAGGGCUAGCCUCGGUCAUGAGUCUUGUGGAGGUAGAGCACUGAAUUUCCUAGGGGGCGUCAAAGCCUACCGAAGAAUAUCAAACUCCGAAUGCCAUGUAGACAGGACCGGGAGUCAGACUGCACGAGAUAAGUUGGGCAGUCAAAAGGGAAAGAGCCCAGACCUUCAGUUAAGGUCCCAAAGUGUACGUUAAGUGGAAAAGGAUGUGGGGUCUCGAAGACAACCAGGAUGUUGGCUCAGAAGCAGCCAUUCAUUCAAAGAGUGCGUAAUAGCUCACUGGUCGAGAGGCCCUGCGCCGAAAAUGUCCGGGGCUGAAACGUACCACCGAAACUAAGGGAUCCGCAAGGAUCGGUAGAGGAGCAUUGCAUGCGGAACGAAGCAGUACCGUAAGGAGCUGUGGACUGCAUGGAAGAGAGAAUGCCGGAAUGAGUAGCGAGAUAAAGGUGAGAAUCCUUUAGGCCGAAUAUCCAAGGUUUCCAGGGUAAAGCUGAUCUGCCCUGGGUAAGUCGGGGCCUAAGGCGAGGACGAGAGUCGUAGCCGAUGGACAACAGGUGGAGAUUCCUGUACUGCGGUAUGACAGAACUGUGGGGACACGUAAGGAAAGCGGAAGCCGGGAAUGGAAAGCCCGGUGCAAGCAGGGUACCAGUCGCUUAGGCAAAUCCGGGUGUCAAUGGGAAGCUGUGAUGCGGAGCGAAAUACAAGUAGCGAAGUCCGUGAGCCAUGCGUCAAGAAAAGCCGCUAUUGUUUAUACCGUACCCGUACCGUAAACCGACACAGGUGGAUGAGGAGAGAAUCCUAAGGCCGGCGGAAGAAGCAUUGUCAAGGAACUCGGCAAAAUGACCCCGUAACUUCGGGAGAAGGGGUGCCACUGAGAAGUGGCCGCAGAGAAUAGGCUCAAGCAACUGUUUAGCAAAAACACAGGUCUAUGCGAAACCGAAAGGUGAGGUAUAUGGGCUGACGCCUGCCCGGUGCUGGAAGGUUUAGAGGAGAGGUUAGCGGAAACGCGAAGCUUUGAAUUUAAGCCCCAGUAAACGGCGGCCGUAACUAUAACGGUCCUAAGGUAGCGAAAUUCCUUGUCGGGUAAGUUCCGACCCGCACGAAAGGCGUAAUGAUUUGAGCGCUGUCUCGACAAUGCAUCCGGUGAAAUUGAAGUACCAGUGAAGAUGC
RNAcentral lists this ribosomal RNA (2027 nucleotides) under human gut metagenome. RNAcentral's name for it is "bacterial LSU rRNA". It matches the Rfam family "Bacterial large subunit ribosomal RNA", at positions 1 to 2062 of the family's 2925-position model. The record is from RNAcentral.